GAUGAACGCUGGCGGCGUGCCUAAUACAUGCAAGUCGAGCGAACGGACGAGAAGCUUGCUUCUCUGAUGUUAGCGGCGGACGGGUGAGUAACACGUGGAUAACCUACCUAUAAGACUGGGAUAACUUCGGGAAACCGGAGCUAAUACCGGAUAAUAUUUUGAACCGCAUGGUUCAAAAGUGAAAGACGGUCUUGCUGUCACUUAUAGAUGGAUCCGCGCUGCAUUAGCUAGUUGGUAAGGUAACGGCUUACCAAGGCAACGAUGCAUAGCCGACCUGAGAGGGUGGUCGGCCACACUGGAACUGAGACACGGUACAGACUCCUACGGGAGGCAGCAGUAGGGAAUCUUCCGCAAUGGGCGAAAGCCUGACGGAGCAACGCCGCGUGAGUGAUGAAGGUCUUCGGAUCGUAAAACUCUGUUAUUAGGGAAGAACAUAUGUGUAAGUAACUGUGCACAUCUUGACGGUACCUAAUCAGAAAGCCACGGCUAACUACGUG
Molecule: ribosomal RNA, 497 nt
Filed under: uncultured bacterium
Lineage: Bacteria
Description: partial 16S ribosomal RNA
Rfam family: Bacterial small subunit ribosomal RNA
Source: RNAcentral